CGUGGUUCAGACAUGCAAGUCGAGCGAUGAAGCCCCUUCGGGGGUGAAUUAGCGGCGAACGGGUGCGUAACACGUGAGCAACCUGCCCUGAAGUGGGGGAUAGCCCGGGGAAACCCGGAUUAAUACCGCAUGUGGCGUUUCUUCGCAUGAAGAAAUCGCUAAAGCUCGUAAAGGCGCUUCAGGAGGGGCUCGCGACCUAUCAGCUUGUUGGCGAGGUAACGGCUCACCAAGGCUAAGACGGGUAGCUGGUCUGAGAGGACGAUCAGCCACACUGGGACUGAGAUACGGCCCAGACACCUACGGGUGGCAGCAGUUUCGAAUCAUUGGCUAAUGCGCGAAAGCGUGACCAUGCAACGCCGCGUGGGGGAUGACGGUCUUCGGAUUGUAAACCCCUGUCACCGGGGAGUAAAAAGCGGGUUAGUAGCCCGCUCUGAAGUUACCCGGAGAGUAAGCAGUGGCUAACUCCGUGCCAGCAGCCGCGGUAAUACGGAGACUGCAAGCGUUACUCGGAUUUACUGGGCGUAAAGGGUCCGCAGGUGGCCGGGUGUGUCGGAUGUGAAAUCUCGGGGCUUAACUCCGAAACUGCGUUCGAAACUAUCCGGCUUGAGGCUCGGAGAGGGCAGUGGAAUUCCUGGUGUAGCGGUGAAAUGCGUAGAUAUCAGGAGGAACACCAACGGCGAAGGCAGCUGCCUGGACGAGUUCUGACGCUCAUGGACGAAAGCGUGGGUAGCGAAAGGGAUUAGAUACCCCUGUAGUCCACGCCCUAAACGUUGCACACUAGGUAUUGGACGAUUCGACCCGUUCAGUGCCCAAGCUAACGCGUUAAGUGUGCCGCCUGAGGACUACGGCCGCAAGGCUAAAACUCAAAGGAAUUGACGGGUCCCCGCACAAGCGGUGGAGCAUGUGGCUUAAUUCGAUGCAACGCGAAGAACCUUACCAGGUCUUGACAUGCGCCGGACCGGCUCAGAAAUGAGCCUUUCCUUCGGGACUGGCGCACAGGUGCUGCAUGGCUGUCGUCAGCUCGUGUCGUGAGAUGUUCGGUUAAGUCCGUCAACGAGCGCAACCCCUGUCCCUAGUUGCCAGCAUUUAGUUGGGGACUCUAGGGAGACAAACUCUCUCUGAGAGUGGGAAGGUGGGGAUGACGUCAAGUCAGUAUGGCCCUUACGACCUGGGCUGCACACGUGCUACAAUGCUUGGUACAGUGCGUUCCGAUACCGCGAGGUGGAGGUAAUCGUCAAAGCCAAGCCCAGUUCGGAUUGGAGUCUGCAACUCGACUCCAUGAAGGAGGAAUCGCUAGUAAUGACGCAUCAGCAACGGCGUCGUGAAUACGUUCCCGGGGAUUGUACACACCGCCCGUCACAUCAUGAAAGCCGGUCUGCCCCGAAGUGUGUGAGCUAACCGCAAGGAGGCAGCGCCCUAAGGGUGGGCUGGUGAUUGGGAUGAAGUCGAAACAAGGUA
RNAcentral lists this ribosomal RNA (1458 nucleotides) under metagenome. RNAcentral's name for it is "bacterial SSU rRNA". It matches the Rfam family "Bacterial small subunit ribosomal RNA". The record is from RNAcentral.